GGAGAGAUGUCCGAGUGGCUGAAGGGGCUCGCUUGGAAAGCGAGUGUAGGGGCAACCCUACCGGGGGUUCGAAUCCCCCUCUCUCCGCCA
Molecule: transfer RNA, 90 nt
Filed under: Planctomycetota bacterium
Lineage: Bacteria; Pseudomonadati; Planctomycetota
Description: Planctomycetes bacterium tRNA-Ser
Rfam family: tRNA
About the family: Transfer RNA (tRNA) molecules are approximately 80 nucleotides in length.
Source: RNAcentral